AACGGUCUAUACCUGCGGUACCUGCGGAGGGAUCAUUAACGAUUUCGGUGUAAAAAACCGUUUUCUACCUAUGUCUACGCGUACCACUUGUUUCCUCGGGGGGCUUGCCCCCCGCUAGGACCCUUUAUCAAACCUUUUUGUAAUAGCAGUCAGCGUCUGAUACUACGUUAAUUAUUAAAACUUUUAACAAUGGAUCUCU
RNAcentral lists this unclassified non-coding RNA (199 nucleotides) under soil metagenome. RNAcentral's name for it is "partial contains 5.8S ribosomal RNA, internal transcribed spacer 2, and large subunit ribosomal RNA". The record is from RNAcentral.